UGGGCGUAAAGCGCGUGUAGGCGGCUGGCCAAGUCUGAUGUGAAAGCCCUCGGCUUAACCUAGGAAGUGCAUUCGAUACUGGGAAACUCGAGUACGGGAGAGGGUGGUGGAAUUCCUGGUGUAGGAGUGAAAUCCGUAGAUAUCAGGAGGAACACCGGUGGCGAAGGCGGCUACCUGGACCGAUACUGACGCUGAGACGCGAAAGCGUGGGGAGCAACACAGGAUUAGAUACCCUGGUAGUCCACGCUGUAAACGAUGAGCGCUAGGUGUUGCGGG
Molecule: ribosomal RNA, 276 nt
Filed under: uncultured Geobacteraceae bacterium
Lineage: Bacteria; Pseudomonadati; Thermodesulfobacteriota; Desulfuromonadia; Geobacterales; Geobacteraceae
Description: partial 16S ribosomal RNA
Rfam family: Bacterial small subunit ribosomal RNA
Source: RNAcentral